RNAcentral lists this small RNA (107 nucleotides) under Chryseobacterium piscicola. Its description in RNAcentral is "Flavo-1 RNA". It matches the Rfam family "Flavo-1 RNA". The record is from RNAcentral. Lineage: Bacteria; Pseudomonadati; Bacteroidota; Flavobacteriia; Flavobacteriales; Weeksellaceae.
CCUUAGCCCUGAUAGUAGCGGUUACCCCACAGCAAGGGUUGGAGCGCAUGGGUUUUGGCGGUGGAGAGUUUUGGAGCGAGGAGUAGUAGCGGAUAGCAGGAAAUAGC